Molecule: ribosomal RNA, 253 nt
Filed under: uncultured bacterium
Lineage: Bacteria
Description: partial 16S ribosomal RNA
Rfam family: Bacterial small subunit ribosomal RNA
Source: RNAcentral
UACGUAGGGAGCAAGCGUUGUCCGGAAUCAUUGGGCGUAAAGCGCGCGUAGGUGGCCCCAUAAGUCCGCUGUGAAAGUCAAAGGCUCAACCUUUGAAAGCCGGUGGAUACUGUGGGACUAGAGUACGGAAGAGGCGAGUGGAAUUCCUGGUGUAGCGGUGGAAUGCGCAGAUAUCAGGAGGAACACCAAUGGCGAAGGCAGCUCGCUGGGACGUUACUGACACUGAGGCGCGAAAGCGUGGGGAGCGAACAGG